Molecule: ribosomal RNA, 27 nt
Filed under: Babesia bovis
Lineage: Eukaryota; Apicomplexa; Aconoidasida; Piroplasmida; Babesiidae
Description: partial 28S ribosomal RNA
Source: RNAcentral
CUUUUCCUGAGAUGUACGAGGCUAUCC